RNAcentral lists this small RNA (272 nucleotides) under synthetic construct. The record is from RNAcentral.
GGACCGAGAAGUUACCCAAAACCUCAACUGGUCACUUUGUGAACCAUAAGUGAUUAGGUAGCUCGCGAGAGCAACCUAGUUCGGUCUCGAAUUCCUGGGGAAUUCUGCCUAUUUAACCACUACAUCAGACGCAAUGGAAACGCGGUAGCUAGGUUGCGCGUUACCUCCAGAUUGGCAUCAGAUAUUCGUUAGGGUAAUCGGGGAAUACUGAACGCCAUAGUAAGGAAAAUAGGCCUCUAUCGACGAUGUGACGUGACGCACAUCGCAGCAAC